CAAGGCCGUUGUUAAGGGGAGGGAAUCAUCUCCUACAACAGUACUGUCACUGUAAUAUUGGCUACCACGAAGCGGUAGGGGACGGAAUAUAAGAAUUAUAGUUCAGUGAAGGGGGAUCCAAACAGAUUAUGACAUAACUAACAGAGGAACGAAUUGAGGAGAUAACAACAGCAACAACCGACUACCACGACCCGUGGCUGACGGCGAAGUCAUAAAACUAGUUAUAAAGCAUCGGUCAGAAAGACCGAGAGACGGACGGACGGACGGACGUACGGUGCAUCUCCGACCGCAGGCGCGCACACGAGCUGAGAGUAAUCACCACUGAUUCCGGUGGCGGAUCUCCCGUACUUGCGUGACGGUCAACGCUGGGUUGAUGGCAACUCCCAUUCGUCCUUCCCUCGUAUUCUUGCCACCUCCAUAGAAAUUUUAGUUUGCCAAAUGGACGGGCUACUUUUCCGACAGGAAAGAUUGACAGUGCGAGUGUUGUAGGUAUUUCGCCACGACUUAAAGUGACUCGCAGGCUAUACGUUCGCUCGGAAACGAAGUUGUGCCAGUGACUUACGAGCUCUCGAGGUGGCAGCGAGGGGCGACCUUAACAACCGUGAAGUGAAACAAUUACAGUCGUCACGUGUUUUAAUUUCAGUGCACUAUGUGUGUGUGUGUGUGAAUAACCGUACAAUGCCAGAGUGUGAUAUUGACAAUUAGUCACAUGCAAAAAAAAAGGCAGUAGAAUUCCAUUCAAGCGGAUGGAUAAAUAUUCGAGAAGAAACAGUUGAAAUGAGGGUUGAAGAAUCCAACUGCAAGUACCCAAUCAAAGUUUGACGGACCACGGGGAUUGGUGGUUGGGUUUUCAACCAAAACGGCGAAACUGGUGCGAGCGGCCGUGAUGUCCUCAAACAAUUGUCGGUGGUAUCCACGUCAACAGCGAAGCUACUGGAACAAUCUCGGGCGUUAGACAGGGCGCGUGUCCUCGUCAUCAUUUGGCGACGGCGUGGUAAACUACUAGUAGUCAUGGUGGUGGUGGUGGAAAGCUAGACACCCCCCCAAGCCCCUCACGGUUUUUUUUUCCUGAGUUUAACUUGAGGGUGGUUUGUGUGAGACUAU
This is a non-coding RNA of Zootermopsis nevadensis, 1104 nucleotides long. Lineage: Eukaryota; Metazoa; Arthropoda; Insecta; Blattodea; Termopsidae. The record is from RefSeq and is a predicted model, not a curated record.